UGGGGAAUUUUGGACAAUGGGGGCAACCCUGAUCCAGCCAUGCCGCGUGUGUGAAGAAGGCCUUCGGGUUGUAAAGCACUUUCGGCCGGAACGAAAUCGCGCGGGCUAUUACCCCGCGUGGAUGACGGUACCGGAAGAAGAAGCACCGGCUAACUACGUGCCAGCAGCCGCGGUAAUACGUAGGGUGCGAGCGUUAAUCGGAAUUACUGGGCGUAAAGGGUGCGCAGGCGGUUGCGCAAGUCAGGCGUGAAAUCCCCGGGCUUAACCUGGGAAUGGCGCUUGAAACUACGUGACUAGAGUAUGGCAGAGGGAGGUGGAAUUCCACGUGUAGCGGUGAAAUGCGUAGAGAUGUGGAGGAACACCGAUGGCGAAGGCAGCCUCCUGGGCCAAUACUGACGCUCAUGCACGAAAGCGUGGGGAGCAAACAGGAUUAGAUACCCCCGUAGUCCCUGAGCGGGCUGGCAAGGCGCAU
This 472-nucleotide ribosomal RNA is filed under the name uncultured bacterium. Its description in RNAcentral is "bacterial SSU rRNA". It matches the Rfam family "Bacterial small subunit ribosomal RNA", at positions 355 to 825 of the family's 1533-position model. The record is from RNAcentral.